Molecule: ribosomal RNA, 386 nt
Filed under: Syndiniales sp.
Lineage: Eukaryota; Dinophyceae; Syndiniales
Description: partial small subunit ribosomal RNA
Rfam family: Eukaryotic small subunit ribosomal RNA
Source: RNAcentral
AUUCCAGCUCCAAUAGCGUAUAUUAAAGUUGUUGCGGUAAAAAAGCUCGUAGUUGGAUUUCUACCGACCUUGGCCGGUUCGCACCAUGUGCGUAAUCUGGAUUAAGCUCGGUAUUCUCUCGGAAAACGGUUCUGCGCUUAAUUGCGUGGUCCGGGUUUCGGGACUUUUACUUUGAGGAAAAUAGAGUGUUCACGGCAGGCUUUCGCCCGAAUACUGUAGCAUGGAAUAAUACCAUAGGAUCCGGGUUCCUUUUGUUGGUUUCAGGUUCUCGGAUAAUGAUUAAUAGGGACAAUUGGGGGCAUUCGUAUCAACGCGUCAGAGGUGGAAUUCUUGGAUUGCGUUGCGACGAACUACUGCGAAAGCAUUUGCCAAGGAUGUUUUCAUCA